GCCGAGGUGGCGGAAUUGGCAGACGCGUAGGACUCAGGAUCCUAUGGGGGUUUCCCCGUGCGGGUUCAACUCCCGCCCUCGGCA
Molecule: transfer RNA, 84 nt
Filed under: Pseudomonadota bacterium
Lineage: Bacteria; Pseudomonadati; Pseudomonadota
Also listed under: 1 other name
Description: tRNA-Leu
Rfam family: tRNA
About the family: Transfer RNA (tRNA) molecules are approximately 80 nucleotides in length. Their secondary structure includes four short double-helical elements and three loops (D, anti-codon, and T loops). Further hydrogen bonds mediate the characteristic L-shaped molecular structure. tRNAs have two regions of fundamental functional importance: the anti-codon, which is responsible for specific mRNA codon recognition, and the 3' end, to which the tRNAs corresponding amino acid is attached (by aminoacyl-tRNA synthetases). tRNAs cope with the degeneracy of the genetic code in two manners: having more than one tRNA (with a specific anti-codon) for a particular amino acid; and 'wobble' base-pairing, i.e. permitting non-standard base-pairing at the 3rd anti-codon position.
Source: RNAcentral